Molecule: long non-coding RNA, 6950 nt
Organism: Dunckerocampus dactyliophorus (ringed pipefish)
Lineage: Eukaryota; Metazoa; Chordata; Actinopteri; Syngnathiformes; Syngnathidae
Exons: 3
Source: RefSeq, a predicted model, not a curated record
GUUUUUUUGGGUAGACUAGAAAGGAAGGCGGUGGUCACCAUGGUAACAAGCCAUCCUUGCUGAUGGUGACAUCAUCUCAUUUGCAUAUUUCAAUGGAUGACCAUCAUGUGAUUCGCAGCUUUUAUUCAUCCCUUGUAUAUCUUUCAUCAUAUUAACGUGGGCGUGCGUGUGUGGGCGUGCGCGGAACAUCAUGACGUUCUGCUGAAUAUCGCCAUGCCUCCCCAGCAAAGUGCAUGUGACAGCAGGAAGAGACGCAUGAUUAGCGGCGAGUACUCCAGCCAGCGCCUCCCCGCCCACGGGGACAGGAGAGCCAAUCAGGAGAAGACAAAUGAGCAGGUUGAAAAACGGCCAGUGUCUGCUUCUCAGGAACCAUUUAGCCGCUGUCCAAUCAGAAGCUAUUGUGACAGAAGGGGAGGAGCCUGAGUGGCGCCAGGAAGUGGUCUAGUUAAGGUGGGUGUGGUCCAAUUUGAAGUCUGGAGAUACAAAAGACGCUUGCAGAGUCAGCAUGUGAGUGGACGUUCUCGAAGGCACACGGCGUUCCCUCCGAGCCAACGCGCUGAUCCCUCAGGUGAGUGGUUUCCACGGCAACAGUGGAUGCCAAUCAACCUGCUGCACCUGAUUGAUUGAUGUUUCCGACAAUGUUGUACGAGGUAGAACAUCUAAGCUGGCUCAUCCUGACAUCCUGAGAUGUUUCCCAGCCUCUCCUGACUGCAAGGCAGAUGUGCUCACCACGACGCCACCGUGCUAACCACGACACCUCGUGGAUAAAAGACGACAAGUUUUCAUCAAGAGGAUGAAUAAAGUAGCAGAUGAGCUCGCAUGCUAACGCUAGCACGUAACUGGAACGUCUGAACCCUCGCCUAACCUGCUGGCCACUUCAUUAGGUACAUCGUCUCAUGACGUCCAUGGCCAAACAUCCUAGCUUAAAAAGAUGAGAAUGUUGACUUUCAGAGAGAUAUUCAAGUGUUAACAUUCAUUCGCAUACACACACACUCUAUUAGCAUAAUAGUGCUAAGUGUUUAUGUACGUGUCUAGCUAUGAAAAUGGCUAAAAAUGCUACUAUGUUAAUGUUAGCAUGCUAACAAUGCUAACUUGCUAAACAGCAAACAUUUCAUAUCAGUUAUUUCUUACAUUAGUAAUUCACUUUACACAGUACACAUCAUUUGGUAAUUAGUUACGACAAAAAGACCCGAAAUUUCCACCACUAACAGGUAGCAAAGUAAUGAGAUCAUGUGACAUGUGGGGUACUGAAUGAACACGUGAUGCUUCUCUGACUGUCAUGCAUUUCACAAAUAAACACAAAACAGGGCAAGGCAAAUACUGCAACAUGCAAUACAAAUGAUACAAAACGUGCCAACAUUAUUUUCAAAAUCAUUUUGUCCCAAAGCAAAAAAGUCAUUAAAAAAUGAAAUGAACUUAAAAUGAAAAAAAAUGAUGCGCCACACAUAGCCAGACCAAAUAACAUCCUUUUCUGAUGUAUCUUUGCAAUCGAGAAGUGCAAAACACAAAACAAACAGACAAACAAAUCACAAUUAAACCAGCAGGAAGAGGAUUUUACACCCGCAAGGGUUGUCAAAAAUCUCAUUUAACUGCAAUAAUUUUUUUUAUGUGCGCACGUCUUGUUUGACCCUCGGCCUACACCGUAGUUUGAGGAAGUGGCAGUGACUGGCGCCACAAGCGGGAACGAAUAUUAAGCAGAAAUGGAGAAAGAAAAUUGUAUUUUCAUUGGUGAAUUUAGCUUGAAAGCCCCGGCAGAUGGCUCUCGCUUCAAGAAACAAGUUAUUUGAUUGGAAUUGCCAAGGACACCCAACUAAAGUGCGAAGCAGGAACGUGCGGACUGAUACACACUGCGCGCGCACACACUUCCUGCCAGCAAACCUUAAUCCCAGCUGAAGCAACAGCAUCUUCAUCUUCUACACAUGCAGGCAGCAAACCAGGAGGAUGAUGAUGAUGAUAGUCAUGAAACCUCGCCUUCGCGUGUGGGCACGCGGACGUGCUCGCGCGCAACCUCUCUCCAAAAGGACCGAUUUUGAAGGACCAUGCGCGCUCACCACGCCCCCGCGCAAAGGCGCCCAAACGGGAGCGUGACCGCGCACCGCGCGUGUGAUGGUACUGACCUGCCGCCAAACAGGAUCCCGCCGGUGUGCAGCCGAACCCCCGUUUGACGACCCGCCUUUAUCUCCUCGCUCUGCCCCGCCCUCUCCUCCGCCUCUGCGCGACCCCCACCAGCACAGCACGAGCAUAUGCACGCCGUCAACACACACCACGGCGUAGGCCAGCAGAGGACGCUUGGGGUGCCAGGCCACUGUGAAGGUGGGCGAGUCACAUUGAACUUCCCAAAGCUUCUCACCUGCGCACACGCAAACACCGUGAGCGACGCCGCAUGCACAAGUCGCAUGCAAACUGGCUUCGUGGCAGCAGACUGACCUGUUUCCACCUCGGCGAUGUCGAUGAAGUGGUCCUCCGACGCCGACGCCAGCAUCUUCCCAUCGUGACUGAAGCUCAGCGUCCUCACAGGCCAGUCCAGCCUGCAGCACACAACCCAUGACUUUACUUGACAUGAAUAACUACAUAGUCAUUCAAUUCAGUCUGUUGACUGGAACACGCAAGUACUACUACUACUACUACUACUACUACAACAUGUACUACUACUACUACAUGUACUACUGCAUUUUGCUUUAGCGGGAAGUUGUCCAUGUUGAUGUUGGAAUCUGUUGAGAAGUGUGGAAUUUGUUGUUGAAUGCCUUUGAUCUAAUUAGAUCUCAGGCAUUCAGCAUUCGGGAAAAAUAGGAAUGUCAGGAAAAGUGGAAAAUGCUGUUAUGUGGACAAUAGCACAAAUGUCCUGAAUCACUGAAUGGCUCGAUGUUGGAACGGUUGGAUUCUAUUGAGAAAUGUGGAAGUAGUUGCGGAAUGCCUUUGAUCUCAUUAGACCACAGGCAUUCCGGAAAAAUGGGCAUGUCGGGAAAAGUGGGAAUUUUUGUGCAGUGGAUAAUAGCACGAAUGUCCUGACUUAUGAGUUAAUGCUGGGAUGCAGUGAACCGGUUGAGAAAUGCAGAAGUAGUAGCAAGAGUUAAAAGUUCAUUGGUUUUCUGGAAAAGUGGGAAUUUUAGGGGGAAAAAAAAUUAAACGUGGAAAAAUAGGUAGCCGUAAUGUCUGGAUUGUGCUGAACAAUUUGAUAUUGCAACUGUUAGAACUGGUUGAAAAAUGUUGUAGUUAAGACUAAUUAAGAUCAAAAGAAAAUAAUGAUACGGAAAAGUGGGAAUGAGGGAAAAGUUGGAAUUUUUGGAAUGUGGAAAAUUGUUAGUUUGAAGCAGAGGAUGUGUGGAAUGUUUUCAUGGUGAAAUGGCUUGGAUCAGUUGAGAAACGUGCAAAUGGUGGAAGUUUGAAAAAUGGCCCGUUCAUUUUCAAUUGGGAAAAAUGCUGUGGAAUUUGGGGAUUUUUAAUUUUGCAAAAAAUUACAUUUGUAGAUGAUGGCGCCAGCCAUGACAAACUAGCUUGCAGCUCAUGCUUAUUUCCCCAAGUCACGUAUUGUGGGGGCAGGGGGUACGUUGAGGCAAACAGGAGGAUGUUUACAGUGAUUAUAGCCAAGAUUUGAGCCAUGCGUCAGUUGUGUUCGACAAGGAAAGAAACAUUUGGAGAUGAAAUUGCACAACAUGGACUUAAGCCUUAAGACAUGGAGAUGAAGAUUGAUCGCCUUCAAAGCACAAAGACUUAUCCUUCAAUUAGCUUCUUAAUGAGCGUGAAGGGGUCUUUAUAGCCUGUUUUAAUGUUCAUGUGGCCUCACAUCGACGAUGAAUGUCUGCCGCUGCCCCCCCAGUAAACACACGACUGUGAAAAGAUGUUUAUAUAACAUAUAUAAUGCUUUGCAGUCUUGUCGCUAUCGUGGAUUAGUGUUUAGAAGACAUUACGCAAACAAGACGUGACUCUCUUGUGCCAGCUUCAACACAGUGGUCGUUCUUCAUUGUAUUGUUUUUUUCCUGUGUGCCGCAUCAGGAAUCGCAUAAAAAUGCGUUUAUAACGUACUUUCAAGCUAAAUGCUUCUUGUAAAGGUGUUCCUUUAUAGUAGUCAUCAGUGAAUUGAUCACUCCAAAGAACAAAACUCAAGAUGGGCGCCCAUCUGUCUCUGGUUCUGCACUUGCUUUGUCUAUGUUGUCUUAAAGCUUCUUCUUUUGGAAACGAAAAACUUAAAAGUAUCACUGGGAUACUGUGAACAUCCAGCAGCGACACAACAUUUUGGCAUGACUACUAUUUGGAUGAAAAAUGUACUGAACCAAGUCGACCAUCACCUGGAGAAGCGUUUGUUUACUAUGGUUAAGCUGAGGGGUUUCACCCCAGUACAUCUCAUCCAGAAAUGAGGCUGAUCUGCGAGCUAGUUUGUCACGGCUGGCGCCAUCGACCACAAACAUCAUUUUCGCAAAUUUAACGUUGGCUUUCAACAAAUCAAACAAUGUCGAACACAAUUCCAAACAGUAUAUAACAUUUAAGCAAGGUGAUGAGUUAUGUCAGGGAGCCUUCAAAGUCUGUCUGUAGUGCCCCAACUGUAACAGAAGCACCAUCCAUCCAUUCUUCAGACACCAACAUGUGGAUGCUUUGUUUGGAGAAAGACCUACCUGGAGAAGCAGCGCACGCACACCAGCUCGUCCACGUCCCAAAGGCUGACCAGGGCGUCGGCACUUCCCGUGGCAAAGUAUCUGCCGGUGGGGUCAAACUUGAUGCAGAUGCAGUUGGACGGGUGAGCGUUGAUGGACUGGAUGGGCUUCAGCUCAGGAUAGCUAGCAAACGACCAACCAGUCAUGUGACCUUCACACAAGCUAAAACUAAAUGCACGCUUGCAGACCACAACAAUGUAUCCCACCACUCCGCAGUCCUCUAAUGAGUGGCUUUUGUUACUGGAAGCGCUAAAACAAGUUAUAUAUUUAUAAUACAGACUUCUACAGGACACACCUGCUCGCAUGCUUUUACACAAAUGUGACAUGUAGGAUUACACCUUUUGCCUAGUAUCUUAUGCCCCUCCCCUUCCGCUCAAUAGCCAAGAUGGCGACUAUUGAGGGUGGGAAGUGUCCAUCACUGCACACUCACCAUUUUCAGUCUUGAGUGCAACAUCUGGGCAUUGACAGUCUAAUGCAUUUUACUCAAUUUCAACACACUUAUGCACACUGUAAGUGCACAAGUGUGCACCACCUUACAACUUAGACCAAGUGUAAGUAUGCAAGUGUGCACUUAUGCGCUAAAAGACUAAGUACACUAAGUACACAAGUGUGCACUUAUGCACUCAAAAGAUAAAUUGCAAGUACACGAGUGUGCACUUAUGGACUAAAAGUCUAACUAAGUAUGCACUGAAAAGACCAAGUAUAAGUAAACAAGUGUGCAAUUAUGCACACAAAAGAGCAAAUUUAAGUACGCAAGUGUGUGUACCAAGUGCACCAAUGAAGAGAGCAGCGACAGUAGUGAUGAGCUAUUAUUGCGUGUUUGGCUAAGAAGCUAACAGCCUUCCUGUCCAGAUGAUCAAACAUGGCUGCAUGGGCAGUGGCGGUGGGAGAAGACGACGACAGCGAGAGCGCCGUGAAUAAAAGAGGACGGCGGUCGCACCUGAGGAUAUUGAUGCAGCCGUUGCCGUUGGUGAGGAAGAACAUGUCGUUGUCAUUGUUCCACGAGAUCUCGUUCACCUCGAACUUGAACGGCUCCUCGGCCUUGGAGCGGUGCAUCUUGGCGUCGAUGAAGGUCACCACGUCGUCUUUGUUGCCCACGGCGAUGGUCUGCCCGUCGGGACUCCAGCAGAUGUUGAUGUUCUCACCUUUACAACAUAGAAAAACGUGGGCGUGUUGUCACGGCAACGCCAGCGGACGCCAAGAGAGCAGCAGGGAGGAGGUCGGGGGUGGGAGGUGUCCAUGAGGACGUGUUACUAACAUCUGGCGGUCCAAUUUCACAGUCUUCAGCGCUAGCUACUACAUCAUGGGAGCGUGUGGCUGCUUCAGUUCACCUUUGGUGUUGACCACAGCAAUGCACUUGGUGGUGCGCACGUCCCAGAUGCGGAUGGUCUUGUCUCCAGACGCCGUGACAAACAGAUCAGGAUUGGUGGGAUGCCAGCAGAGCUGAUCCACACUGUCCCCGUGACCUCUGUAGUUGUUUUCUUUCACCUGAGAGGAGGAAAGGAAAACAAACUAAUAUUUACUACACCUAAAUGAAGAUAACAUGCGCUUGUGUUUUUACAAAGUAGAGUGACGUCAUAAAGAGUUUGGCGUUCUCUCCACGACUUCCGGCUUGGGUGCAUUGGCGGUAUUGUAGCUGAUGUAAGACUACUUUCUAUAGUACAGUGUUAGUACUAACAUCGUUACCACGAAGCCAAAAUACAAACACAACACAAUAGGUGAGUAGGACCAAAGCUUCCAUUCAUUCAUCACAACGAGGCCGAGCCUGGACUCACCAGUCGGUCUUUUUCGAGGACAAACACGCUGGCGGUUUUGUCAAAGGAGCCGGAGGCCAGCCUUCUGCCAUCACAGCUCCACGCCACGGAGUGGACUUUAGCAGAAUGCGCCGGAAAUUCACGACUUUUGUUGUUAUUCUUGAAGCUCUCCUGCAUCGUCUGAUAGUAACGUGUCGCCAUCUUGGCUCUGAAACGUUUCAAUGGGCGGGCCGGUGCGGGGCGGAGCGUAGCUUACUCAGCGCCCCCUUGUGCUGCGGAGUGUCAUCACACGUCCAUGAAAAAAACGUUCACACAAGAAAUAUUUUCACUUUGAAAAGACAAAUUCUAAGAAAUGCUAUUAUUCUUCCCCUGCUUGUAGCUAUAUCAGUCAGCACAUUCCAUAAUAGAGAAGCACUCAGCGCAGACCUCCGCCAAGUGCCGUCGUUCCCCCAUUGACAUACUGUAUAUACGUAGACUCCGGAACGAGAGCUGAGCCGUACGCCAACGUCGCCGCCAUAUUGGAUGUGUCAAGGCUGCGCUGUAAACG